GCCAUACCACCCUGAACGCUCCUGAUCUUGUCAGAUCUUCUGAAGCUAAGCAGGGUCGGGCCUGGUUAGCAUUUGGAUGGCAGAAAUACCAGUCAAC
RNAcentral lists this ribosomal RNA (97 nucleotides) under Prolemur simus (greater bamboo lemur). Lineage: Eukaryota; Metazoa; Chordata; Mammalia; Primates; Lemuridae. The record is from RNAcentral.